Bufo bufo (common toad) is the source of this 162-nucleotide long non-coding RNA. RefSeq lists it as uncharacterized. The transcript is spliced from 3 exons. The record is from RefSeq and is a predicted model, not a curated record. NCBI's taxonomy places the organism in Eukaryota, Metazoa, Chordata, Amphibia, Anura, Bufonidae.
CCUUUAUGUACAUGCAAGUAUGGGGAAGUCCCCGUCCACCCCCUAUUCAUGGAGGGUGAGUGGCUGGAAGUUGGAACCUGGCAGCACUCCUAUUGACACUUCAAUGCCAGGGAGAAGAAGCAGAGCGGCAGCCUGACAGCAGAGCAUAGCUGACCCAGAGCA